This 67-nucleotide transfer RNA is filed under the name Endelus continentalis. RNAcentral describes it as "tRNA-Ser". Lineage: Eukaryota; Metazoa; Arthropoda; Insecta; Coleoptera; Buprestidae. The record is from RNAcentral.
AGUUUAUGAACUUGAUAUAAGUAUAUAUUUUGAAAAUAUAAUAAAGAAGUUAAUCUUCUAUAAACUU